RNAcentral lists this long non-coding RNA (536 nucleotides) under Nicotiana benthamiana. Its description in RNAcentral is "long non-coding RNA (NBEN_LNC028892)". Lineage: Eukaryota; Viridiplantae; Streptophyta; Magnoliopsida; Solanales; Solanaceae. The record is from RNAcentral.
UGGCACCGCUGCUUUCUGAAUGCUGCUGAAUCUAGAAAUGCAGGCAUUGGUCAUAGCUGAUGCUAACUGUUUCAAUCCUGCAAUUAAUAAAUAAAACCAUGAAACACACAUAGGAAAACAGCUUGCUUGGCCGAGCAAGUUUAGACCGUAACUCAAUGAUUGGAAAAAUGGUCAAGUCAAGACAAGAAUUUUCCGAUGAUCAUUUCGGUGAACAAGAGGAGAAAAAAAGAAAAAAAGAAAAAAAAAGGGAGGAUACCCGUAGUGGCACUUUUUUUUUCUUCUUUUUUUCUAAUACAUAUUAAAUCAAACUAGCUCAAUUUAAGGGCUAACUGUUUCAAUCCUGCAAAUUAAUAAAUAAAACCAUGAAACACAAGUAGGAAAACAGCUUGCUUGGCGCAGCAAGUUUAGACCGUAACUCAUUGAUUGGAAAAAUGGUCAAGUCAAGACAAGAAUUUUCCGAUGAUCAUUUCGGUGUGAACAAGAGAGUAGACACUAAAUGAAAUUUUUGGGAAACCAAAGGAGGAUACUGGUAGUGG